UAGCAAAAAUGGUCUCUAUCUUGAAGGAGCAGUUCUCAAGGAUGCAGACGGCUUGUCAUCUCCUCCUCAUGAAAGACUAUGUUAAUACCCUUAGAGUUAAUCUCCGGCGCUCUGGUUACAUGUCGAUCAUCUACUAGACGUCCUCAGCAAGCACCUCAACAAAUACCAUGACCUUCUGCUCUAUGACUGUCGCUGCCAGAUCUUGGAGGCCCUCGCCGCCAACAAAUUCGAGCAGAUGCUCAUGAAGAAAGAGUAUGAAUAUUCUAUGAACGUUCUCUCAUUUCAGAUCCAGACCUCUGAUAUUAUCCCAGCCUUUCCUUUCGUGGCAUUGUUCGAUCGUUUGUUGAAGAUUAUGUUAACUUUUUUGUCUUAUGGUGGUCAACUUGACUUCUAUGCUUUUGUUAAGAAGUACCUUGAUAAGCUUAUGGUGAAGGUGCCACUAAUGGCCUUAUUGGUGGGUGGCGUCAACGCCAGCACUCAAUAUUGGCUGCAAGGCAUUUUAUCGGAGGAUGCCAUGGAUUAUUCGAGAUUCGGGAAACAAAUUACCAAAUAUUUAGUUGGUCAGAUUAUCAUUGAUGUCGCGAGGUGCAACAAAGACCUAUCAAGCAGUGUUUGUAAGCAAUACCUUAAUGAAGUGGUGGGGAGGCGUCUAGUUGACAGAGUUGCAUAUGGAAAAUCUUGUGAAUUUGCUGUUGCCCUUCAUGUGUUUGAUGAAAUGUCAUAUUACGAUAUAACUAUUUGGAAUGAACUGCAGGAUGCUAAUGCCGAGUCUAACCAGCUCACACUUGUUGCUGCAUUAUCAACAUGUUCACAGUUGGGUGCAAUUGAAAUUGACAUGUACUCAAAGUGUGGAGAUCUGGAGAAUGCACUCUAUAUGUUCAGGUCUGUCAUAAAUAGAAAUAUCUUUGUUUGGAGCUCAAUGAUUGCAGGCCUUGCAAUGUAUGGAAGGGGAAAGGAAGUCUUAGAUUCAUUCAAAGAGAUACAUGAGGCCAAAGUCAAGCCCAAUCAUGUUACUUUCACCAACAUCCUUAGUGCCUGUAGCAAUGCCGAGCUUAUGGAAGAAUGCAGAAUGUCCUCUAUUCAAAUGCUUCCUUUAUAUGGAAGUGCACCAGAUAUUGAGCACUAUGGUUGCAGGGUUGACAUUCUUGAACGUGCAGGACGUUUAGAAGAAGCAAUGGAUCCGAGAUGUGAUUUACUUACUAAAUUUAAGGGCAGAGAUUUAAUAUUAGGAGAAUCAAAAGCUCUUGUUGAAAAACUCUUGUAGGUAUAUUCCGAAAUAUUCUCUUAUACCUUUGUAAUCCUACAAAUGGAAUGAGCAAAUAAUUAUUUAAUUAUUGUAUAAGAAAAUAAAUUUAAAUAGUGAAGCUGACCAUAUGCUAUGGUCAAUGUAAACACCAAGAGAUAUCACUAAAAUUAUUUUGCUUAUUUGCAAAUAAAUAUACCAUAUAGCUCAUGAUUUUCUCAUAUAUCUACAAAUUUAACAUACAUGUUUAAAUUAUCAUUAAGAAAGUUUAAAAUGUUAUUGAAGUAAUAUGCAAAAAUAUUUAAAGAUCAAAUGUUCAUCUAAUCAGGUAGAUGGAAUUCAAUGCACUACAUGUAAUAGAUGAAAAAUAUUUAAUUUGAUAUGCAGAUUUGAAUUUUAAUUGGAAAGAAAUAAAAUCUUUUUUAUAUAAUAAUAUAUAGAUAUAAAGAGUAUCUAUAUAUAUACUAUAUCUAUUAUAUAAAAUUGUGAAUUGCUUUCCAAAUAAAAUCUAAGACCUGGAACUAUAUAAUAGGAAAAAGGAAAAUCAUAAUCAAAAAAUUGUUAUAUUUCCCUCCCUUUUGUUUAUUCCCUUCUUACAUAACAUUUUGCAUUAACUAGCCAACAAGAACUAGUAGAAUAUGAGCAAAUUCUAAAAACAGAAAAUUAAAAAAAAAAUAUAGGGAUUGGAAGCAAACGGAGGUGGGGCAUUAAUAGUUCCGCUGCAUUUCUAUCCACAUCAAACCGGAUUAAUUAGAGAAAAAAGCAAAAAUAGGAAAACAAUGCGAACAUGGACGAAGAAGAGAGAAGAAGAAGGCGAAGAAGAGAAAAAUGUUGCAUGAUCGCGAGUGCGAAUGAGGACGAAGGAGCACAUUGGAGAGGAAUACAUCUCAUAGAAGAUGAGGAAGUGGGAUAACGCGAUUCCCCCAUUUGUUUCGGCAAAUAAUUGUAGGAUUUACCAAUUGCCGAGAUUUAAUGCGCAUGAAAAGCAGAGAUGCGGGAUUCAUAGAAUAUUCGUACUCUUUCUUCAUGAGCAUAUGUUCGAAUUUGUUGGCCAUGAGGGCCUCCAAGAUCUGGCGGCGGCAGUCAUAAAGCAGAAGGUCGUGGUAUUUAUUGAGAUGCUUGCUGAGGACGUCUAGUAGAGGAUCAACAUGUAACCAGAGCGCUGAAGAUUAACUCUAAGGGUACUAACAUAGUCUUUGAUGAGGAGGAGAUGACAAGCCGUCUGCAUCCUGGAGAACUGGUCCUUCAAAAUAGAGACUAUUUUUGCUACAGCGGUCUCUCAUAGCGCAUCGACUUCCAUGUGGGUGACGAGUCCUCAGACGGUGCGGAGCACGCGUUCUUCAACGAUGAAGAACCCUGCGAUUUGGACAAAGAAGGUCUGAUGUGAUUCCAGGAAAGGCGUCAUGGAGGAGACCUGGAAGUUUGAGGUGAGCUGGAAUUUGCGAUUCUUAAAGUAUUACUGACGGAAGCGGUCUGUGAGACCAAGGGGGUGUAGAUGUGGUAAGCGCGGUAGAGCUGGGUAAGUUCAAAGGCGCCAAGACCGGAGAGAGGGUCGUCAGCAUCAUCUUCCUCGUCUAGGGAGUAGACACCAUCGCGGAGACUAAGCCGAGACUGCUCUUCUGCCUGGCAUUGCUUGACGCGAAGUUCUUCUUCUCGCUGGCGAGCGGCAGAAACCCUGCUGAUGUCCAUAUGGUCAAGGUUGCAAGAAGUUACUGAUGUAGUGUCGGGGCUGAAAUCGAGUUGGAAGGGCUUCAGAUCUUGGCUCUGGUUGUGAGAUGAAGCAGAAUUGUGGUUGCAGAUCUGGUAUGAUGCGGAACCGUCUUCGUUGGAUUUUGUCGGGUCAGGACGUGGAAGCUGGGUCGGAUAAUGGAAGGUGUCGAUCACCGGCGCAUAGAUGGCCUUGGGUUCUGAAGGCAGAAUGAUGGGUUAUGGGGGCGAUUGCGAGUGUGGUCGGGAUGAGUUGGGAGACAGAGGAUGUUGGAACGGAGGGGAGUCACGCCAUCGAAGCGAAAGUUCAAGCGGAGGGUAAUCGUUGGCGACUGCCGGCUGAUUAUGAAGCUGUUUGGGAUUGCGCAGAGUCGAUGAGAGGAGCGAAGGCGAAGAUGCCGGUAUGGUUGCCAACAAUAAUCGCAUUCUCCUUAUUGAUUAGAGGUUUUUGUCUACUCGAUCAAGUGGCUUGAGCUUAAUAGAAGGCUAUACAGCUUCGAUCGUCAUCAAUAGCCCACCUUCUUUGGUGUCGAUCUUCGUCGACCACCCUUUUUAUUCUUCGGCUUCGAUUGCCGUCGACAGCUGACCUUCUUCUGCAGUCCAUCGAUCUUCGCAAGCUCCAGACUCUGAUACCAAACUUAUGUAGUUGGAUCGUCGGAAGAAUCAGACCUGCAAGAAGGGUUUAAUCCCAAUCCAGGGAAGAAAAAAAACACAAGCUUAAAAGCUUCAAAAGGAGAAAUAUAUUUCAUCAAUGAUCUCUUCCUAAUACAAUAUUUUGCCUAUUCAUAGGCAAAUCAAGAAUAUUUUAGAAAGCAUAACUAACAAACUUAGAGAAGCUAAUCUUAAGGAAUGCUUUAAGCUAAAAAUGCUCUGCAUUAGAAUGGCUAAUUCAUUUGUAGUCAAUGAUAAAACACUAGUGAAAUCACUUUUAUUGGGUCAAACCUCCUAGUUUUUUCCCAUUUCAAGAUUUUCCAAAUAAAUUUUUGAUGUCUCUUAUGACUUGCACGCUUCACUUUUUAUCUAUGUUAAUACUAGAUCUUCAUUCAAUGCUAGGGCGGUAAGCUCUUAGUUUUUUUACUGCCGCGAAUGUUUUAGUCUGCAACAAUAAUUAUAAUACUUGACACUUGUGAUGGUGGUGGCGACAACUAUUUAUUUUAUUUUUAAUAUUUUACAAAAUAACUAAAAGUUAUAUAAAUUUUUUUAAAAUAAAUAAAUUUAUUUUUAAAUAAAAUUAAUUAAAAUGCACAUAUUUAUUUCCUUCCUUUCUCUGUCGUGCCCUCCGCAUCUCUUUUUACCUCUCUUCUUAAUUCCUUUCCAAAAAUUCUCCUGAAAAAAAAAAACUUUGCCUACUCACUCUCUCUCUUUCUCUUCGAUUGCUCUCUAUCCGUAUAUGUUUCUCUCUUCCCAUCUAAAAGAUAGAAAACUGAAAAAGAGCCCGAAGCGACAAUAUAUGAUAUGAAAUCUUAUUGCCCAUCCUCUCCAGUCUUUUUCCACUUUUUAAGUGAGUUAUUCUAAUAAUUUUUUAAGAUAUCUAAAUUAAGUUAUUAACUUAUUAUUAUUUAAAUGAUUGAAUUUAUUCUGAAAUUUGAGUGUUUCUUUUUAACUUGUAUAUUAGAGUUUUUUUUUGAAAUAUUUAGAUCAAUUAAGGUAAAUUUAAAUGCACAUUGUAUAGAUAAGAUUCAAAUAUAAGAUCUCUUAGUUAGUAGUCAAAUAUUUAAGCCAAUAGACAAAAGUGAGUUGAGUUAUUAGAGUUUGUUUUAAGGCAUACAUAUUAAAAUCUCUAUGAUGAAACACGUGCUAAUUAUAUAUUUAUAAAAAAAUAUUAUUUGCACAAAUUCACAUGACGGGUAUUUAUUUUGCUUCAACUUUUUAUUUUAAACACUCAUUUAAAAAAAUUCAAAUAGGCUCAAUUCUACUUUGAUUUAUAUUUUCUUGAACUUAAAUUCAUUUUGAUCUGAUUUUUUAGUUCUGAACUCUCUAUUUUAAAAGUCAAGUAGUUGUUUUUAAUCACAUUUAUUUUUUUAAUUUAAAUUUAAUUUUUUUUUAUUUUAAUUAUAUUUUGAUAAAUAUACUAUCAAAUAAAUACAAUUAAUGACGAAAUUGGAAACAAUUAAAAAUAGCUUAAUCAUCUCUUUAUAAAAAUAUGUGAUCCCACACAACACUUUCUCCCUUCCAUAACGUUCUCUCUCUCUCCCACAUUUCAUGUUCUUUUGAUUUCAUCCUCCACGCAUAUUUCUUCCUUCCCAAAACUUCUCUCUCUCUCACUCUACCUCAAGAUAACAUCUCACUCUCACUCUCGUCUUCAAAACCAACAGGCAAUAGAAGAGAAGCAGCCAUCUUAUCGCUGGCAGAUUCCUUGGCUAGAUAUGGUAUGAAAUGUUAUUAUUAAAUUAUGUUUUUAAAUAAUAUUUUAUAUCUGAAGAAGAUAAUAUAUGCAUUUUAUGUUUCUGUAGGCUGAUUUAAAUAUAAUGAUAGAUACAUAUUAGUAUUGAGAAGAAGAAAAAAAAAACUUCGGCAUAGUGACUGGCUUAUGACAAUGGAAGACAAAGAGGUUGUCAGGGGGGUUCGAUGGCGUUAGUGCUCUCGGGUGUCUCUAAUGGUUUACAUCCCAUAAGUGGUUACGGUUGUAGAGAAUAUUAGGUUGUGCAUCACUAGUGUGAUAAUUGAAAGGUUAUCGGAAGUACAUCGUGGGUUGCGGGCAUGGAGCUAGGAUAUCAUUAUUUGAUUUGACCAGAAAAUUAGACCCAAAAAUUUAUAGCUGGAUCAAAUCUUUUGGAAAACGGGUGGGUUCAUAUUUUAUAUUCUGACCAGAUUAUAAUUUUAGGUUGGGUUUGGAUCAACCCGCAAACCUGAAACAACCCUGAAACUGACAUCUUUCAUUGUCCAUCGCAAUCGCUCGCUCGUCCCCAUCCUCCAUCAUGCUCGCAUGGAGCUAGGAUAUUUAACCACAUAUAAAGUAACAUUAGAAUUUUGAAAAAUUAUUCAAUUUCAUAAUUAAACAUAGGAAAACAAUCAACAUAGAGAACAUCUAUUUGUAGAUAUUAAUUUUAGUUAAAAUUGGUUCAGAAUAAUCUAUUAGUUAGUCUAAUAAAUACUAAAAAAUAUUUGUAAAGACAAAUAAAAUUAUGAUAAAAAUAAUUAUUUGUAAAGACAAAAUCCAAAUUUUACCUUAACUUGUAAAACUUCUCCUAUUUAGCAUAAACUUUUUGAAGUGCGGUAAGAUGUUUACCUGGCUAGCAUGAUUCACAAUAAUUUUUGCCAUAAGCACAUCGAUUUGAAUGUAGUGGUUUAAGAAACCCAAUUCCAAGAAACCAAAAUAUAAAAAUAACAUAAUCAUGAUAUUCAAUACUUCAAUAACAAACCAUUAAAAAAAGUAGGGUGAAGAGGUCUGAAGAUGCCGAAGACAAGAAAGGAAUAAGAGUCAUAGAAGUCAAUUAAUCAAUAUAUCUAUUACAUUAAUUCAGUAAUUAAUAGAGUAUAUUUGACAUUAAUAAAAUAAUUAUAAUUAUAAUUGUUGUGGGCUAGAAUAUACAUGGCGAUAGAGUUAUAAUUAUAAGUCUUAGUGUUUCACGGAUAUCCAGCUCACACACAGAGAACACGAGAUUUUUUACGUCGAAAACCCUUGAAAGGGGAAAAUCCACGGGGCCUAGCCCAGUUGAAAAGAUUUCACUAGAACUUGAGUUGGUUAUAAUGGGCUUACUCGCCUCCAAAGGCGAUCAGAUUACAAGUUACAACUGUACAAUAAAACUCUGGGUGUCAGGUGAUGUUCCGGCAGAAGUUUGGGUUUCAGGUGGUGGUCUGGCAGAACUCCGGACCUUAGGUGAUGAUCCGGCGAAAGCAAGGGCCUCAGGUGGAGGUCCGGUGAAGACGAGGGCCUCAGGUAAUGGUCCGGCGAAUGUGAGAGCCUUCUGUAGUGGUUCAACAAAGGUGAGGGCCUUUGGCGGUGGUCCGGCUAAAGUGAGGGCCUCUGGUGGUGGUCCGGCGAAGGUGAGGGCCUCAGGCAGUAGUCCGGUGAAGGUGAGGGCCUCCGGGGGUGGUCCAGCGAAGGUGAGGACCUCCAGAGGUGGUCUGGCGAAGGUGAGGGCCUCCAGCAAUGGUCCAGCGAUUAAUAAUUUUUUUCAUCUUAAUUAUUAUAAAAUAAUUAAAAUAUUUAUAAUAUGAUUUUUUAUAUUUAAAUUGUUAACGCACAUUUAAUAUACAGACAUUUUUUACUAGUCUAAUUAAGUAUAUUUAUGAGUCAUUAAUUAUAUAUUAAAUCAUAUUAUCUUUUUUUUCUUCUCAAAUAGAAAUCCCGCCUCUCUGCUUUUCACGCGCAUUAAAACUCGGCACACGGUAAAUCCUGCCCUUAUUUGCUGAAACAAAUGGUGGAAUCGCAUCAUCCCGCCGCCUCGUCUUCUCUGAGACGUAUUCCUCUCCAAUGUGCUCCUUUGUUAUCGUCCGCACUCGCGAGCAUGUAACAUUUUUCUCUUCUUCGUCUUCUUCUUCUUCUUCUUUGUCCAUGUUCGCAUUGUCUUCCUAUUUUUGCUUUUUUCUCUAAUUAAUCCGGUUUGAUGUGGAUAGAAAUGCAGCGGAACUGUUAAUACCCCGCCUCCGUUUGUUUUCAAUCCCUAUAUUUUUUUCUAAAUUUUGUGUUUUUAGAAUUUGCUCAUAUUUUAUUAGUUUUUGUUGGCUAGUUAUGCAAAAAGUUCUGUAAGAAGUGAGGGAAUAAACAAAAAUGAAAUAUAACAAUUUUUUAUUAUGAUUUUCCUUUUCCCUAUUAUGUUGUUGCAGAUCUUAGAUUUUAUUUGAAAAGAAAUUCACAAUUUCAUAUAGUAGAUAUAGUAUAUAUAUAGAUACUUUUUAUGUCUAUAUAUUAUUAUAUAAAAAAUAUUUUAUUUCUUUCCAAAUAAAAUUCAAUUCCGCAAUAUGAAAUUAAAUAUUUUCCAUCUAUUACAUGUUGUAUAUUGAAUUCCAUCUACCUGAUUAGAUGAACAUUUGAUCUUUAAAUAUUUUUUCAUAUUACUUUAAAAAUAUUUUAAACUUUCUUAAUGAUAAUUUAAACAUGUAUGUUAAAUUUGUAGAUAUGUGAGAAAAUCAUGAACUAUAUGGUUUAUUUAUUUGCAAAUAAGCAAAAUAAUUUUAGUGAUAUCUCUUGGUGUUUACAUUAAUCAUAACAUAUGGUCAGCUUCACUCUUUAAAUUUAUUUACUUAUACAAUAAUUAAAUAAUUAUUUGCUCCUUCCAUUUGUAGGAUUACAAUGAUACAAGAGAAUCUUUCGGAAUAUACCUACAAGAGUUUUUCAACAAGAGCUUUUGAUUCUCCUAAUAUUAAAUCACUGCCCUUAAAUUUAAUAUGUAAAUCACAUCUCUUGAAAUUUGUAAACUAUUCAUAUACCAUAUUUUAUAAUUUAUCAAUAUUUUUGUUAUGUAUUAAUAAAAAAAUUAUGCUAAUAUCUAUCUAUAAUAAAAGUUGAAGAGAAGUUGUAAUUCAUAUUGUGAGGUAAAGAAGAUAUUCAUUUUAAUAUAUAUAACUAUAUAUUAUCUAUGAAAACAACUAAUUUUACUAUAUAUUUAAGAAUUAGAGAAGUCUUAAUUAAUUUGUUGUGCGAGAAAUAAAAAGACUACAUCGCAACAAAGAAUAUAAACCGCUAGACUUGUCCUCUCUUCAGUAAUACCUCUGAGAGUCUAACAUGCCUAAUGCCUUGUGCAUUCAGAAGCAUUCCCUAAGAUGUAAUCAUCCUCUAGGUAUUUUAGUCAUCUUUGUUGCGCCCAAUGGAUUGUCUUUAAAGGAAAAUACUGCUCUGAUUAUUAUUCUUGUCUUUGUAGAAAAAAAUGGGGAAGAUAGAGAGACUUCUUUCUGUAUUUUGAUAAUUUGUUGUCGAAGGUGCCAAAGAAUCCAAGGUUCUUCUUUCGGUUCUUUCCAAGGGUCCUUUUGUCAGCAAAACUAUGUUGUCCUACAUAAUAGUAGAAGAGGAUUGAUAGAUCUAACUUGGUGUUGAUAUAUACAAGUGAAAACAAUGGUUAGACAUCUAUCUAUCUUCCCUUUCUAUAACUUUUCUUCUUUUCUUAAGAGUUUCUCGAUGACAAAACAAUCACCUGAAGGAAUUUUUAGAAGAGAAUAUAGGUGUUGGCUAAUAUAGAGAAUACAAAAGAGUAAUCAUAAUGUCUAAAAUAAAUUCGGCAAAUGCUAAGAUUUACUAAAUUCGAGAUUUAAGACAAAAUAGAAGAGAAAAAAAUGUUAAGAUUCUGUAUGAUUUAAAAUUACCAUUUUCGUUAUUUGGCAUAAUUUUGGCUUCGUUUGAGACGGCUUUCUUGUUGGUUCUUAAAGUAGCUUUCUAGAAUAAAAUUUUUAAUUUUUUACUAAUUUUUUUUUUUACUAAAAAGUUGAUUUAAGAAGCAAAAAAAGGCUGUCCGAAACGAAAUUUUUGUUUAAAUGCUGCUUAAAGUCUGCUACCUAACAACCUCUUAAAAUUUAAUUAUAAGAUUUAUAGUGCUCCUUUUUCACAUUCAAAAUCAACACAAUGUAGAGUUUUAACACCUCGAAAAAAUUGGUAUUUUUAUUUCCCUUUUUUUAUUGCUAUUAUCUUCCUUGAAAUGUUAGAAAUGACAUUUUCUUUGCAUUGUAGAUUAAUUAUUUUUAAAUUAUUUAUGUAGGAAUUUAUAUUAAUCAUAUUUUUAUAUUUGAUGGUUGCGGUUAUUGCUGGAGCUUCCCCAGUUUAUAAUGUGAUUACAUACGGAGCAAGAGGAGAUGGCAAGACAGAUGACACUAAUAUAAAUUUUGUAAAUUGUUUCUUUAAAUUUAUGCAUUCUUCUUCUUCUUCUUAAAUUUCUUUUUUUAUUAACUUUUUUAAUAAAACAUGCAAAUAUUUUUCUAACAAAUUAGUUUGUUCUCAAUAAAGGCUUUUUUGAAUGCGUGGAAGGCUGCCUGUGCAGAUCCUAGAAAUCCAUAUUUUGUUGUGGCAGACAAAGGAGGAAAGAACUAUUUACUAAGCAAAAUAAUGUUUGAAGGGCCGUGUAGUUCCAGCUUGAAAUUUUUGAUAAGUGGAGGACUUGUGGCUCCAAACAGAUUGUGGACAAAUCAAAUCGAUACGUGGAUCGUAUUAAAAAACAUA
Molecule: RNA transcript, 10040 nt
Organism: Dendrobium catenatum
Lineage: Eukaryota; Viridiplantae; Streptophyta; Magnoliopsida; Asparagales; Orchidaceae
Gene name: calmodulin-2-like
Exons: 2
Source: RefSeq, a predicted model, not a curated record